UGGGAAAGUGGGUGUAAUACCGGAUAUGACCUUCUGUUGCAUGACGGAUGGUGGAAAUUAUUCGCUGGGGGAUGGGCCCGCGGCCUAUCAGCUUGUUGGUGGGGUGAUGGCCUACCAAGGCGACGACGGGUAGCCGGCCUGAGAGGGCGACCGGCCACACUGGGACUGAGACACGGCCCAGACUCCUACGGGGGGCAGCAGUGGGGAAUAUUGCGCAAUGGGCGGAAGCCUGACGCAGCGACGCCGCGUGGGGGAUGACGGCCUUCGGGUUGUAAACCUCUUUCGGCCCCGACGAAGCGUGAGUGACGGUAGGGGUGGAAGAAGCACCGGCCAACUACGUGCCAGCAGCCGCGGUAACACGUAGGGUGCGAGCGUUGUCCGGAAUUAUUGGGCGUAAAGAGCUCGUAGGCGGUGUGUCGCGUCGGCCGUGAAAACCUGCAGCUUAACUGCGGGCUUGCGGUCGAUACGGGCAUCACUGGAGUUCGGCAGGGGAGACUGGAAUUCCUGGUGUAGCGGUGAAAUGCGCAGAUAUCAGGAGGAACACCGGUGGCGAAGGCGGGUCUCUGGGCCGAUACUGACGCUGAGGAGCGAAAGCGUGGGGAGCGAACAGGAUUAGAUCACCCUGGU
This 627-nucleotide ribosomal RNA is filed under the name uncultured bacterium. Its description in RNAcentral is "bacterial SSU rRNA". It matches the Rfam family "Bacterial small subunit ribosomal RNA", at positions 150 to 791 of the family's 1533-position model. The record is from RNAcentral.